AGUGCAUCAGUAGGUGGCAGAGGAGAGAGGCUGUAUUUAUGCUCAGUGUUCUGACCUCUGAAGAUUUGAAUGAUUAGUACUUUUAACAUU
RNAcentral lists this small nucleolar RNA (90 nucleotides) under Mus caroli (Ryukyu mouse). RNAcentral's name for it is "predicted gene, 24998 (MGP_CAROLIEiJ_G0036011.1)". It matches the Rfam family "Small nucleolar RNA SNORA17", at positions 42 to 132 of the family's 132-position model. Rfam says of the family: snoRNA ACA 17 belongs to the H/ACA family of snoRNAs and is predicted to guide pseudouridylation of the 28S rRNA at positions U4659 and U4598. It shares the same host gene together with ACA43. NB This family has a high threshold value to exclude a large number of closely related sequences that do not appear to have conserved H and ACA boxes, and may be pseudogenes. The record is from RNAcentral. Lineage: Eukaryota; Metazoa; Chordata; Mammalia; Rodentia; Muridae.